Molecule: ribosomal RNA, 492 nt
Filed under: uncultured bacterium
Lineage: Bacteria
Description: partial 16S ribosomal RNA
Rfam family: Bacterial small subunit ribosomal RNA
Source: RNAcentral
AGUGCACGCUGGCGGUUGGCCUAACACAUGCAAGUCGAACGGCAGCACAGUAAGAGCUUGCUCUUACGGGUGGCGAGUGGCGGACGGGUGAGGAAUACAUCGGAAUCUACUUUUUCGUGGGGGAUAACGUAGGGAAACUUACGCUAAUACCGCAUACGACCUACGGGUGAAAUCAGGGGAUCUUCGGACCUUGCGCGAUUGAAUGAGCCGAUGUCGGAUUAGCUAGUUGGCGGGGUAAAGGCCCACCAAGGCGACGAUCCGUAGCUGGUCUGAGAGGAUGAUCAGCCACACUGGAACUGAGACACGGUCCAGACUCCUACGGGAGGCAGCAGUGGGGAAUAUUGGACAAUGGGCGCAAGCCUGAUCCAGCCAUACCGCGUGGGUGAAGAAGGCCUUCGGGUUGUAAAGCCCUUUUGUUGGGAAAGAAAAGCAGCAGGUUAAUACCCCGCUGUUCUGACGGUACCCAAAGAAUAAGCACCGGCUAACUUCGUG